GACGAACGCUGGCGGCGUGCUUAACACAUGCAAGUCGAACGGAAAGGCCCUGCUUUUGUGGGGUGCUCGAGUGGCGAACGGGUGAGUAACACGUGAGUAACCUGCCCUUGACUUUGGGAUAACUUCAGGAAACUGGGGCUAAUACCGGAUAGGAGCUCCUGCUGCAUGGUGGGGGUCGGAAAGUUUCGGCGGUUGGGGAUGGACUCGCGGCUUAUCAGCUUGUUGGUGGGGUAGUGGCUUACCAAGGCUUUGACGGGUAGCCGGCCUGAGAGGGUGACCGGCCACAUUGGGACUGAGAUACGGCCCAGACUCCUACGGGAGGCAGCAGUGGGGAGUAUUGCACAAUGGGCGGAAGCCUGAUGCAGCAACGCCGCGUGCGGGAUGACGGCCUUCGGGUUGUAAACCGCUUUCGCCUGUGACGAAGCGUGAGUGACGGUAAUGGGUAAAGAAGCACCGGCUAACUACGUG
RNAcentral lists this ribosomal RNA (468 nucleotides) under uncultured bacterium. RNAcentral describes it as "partial 16S ribosomal RNA". It matches the Rfam family "Bacterial small subunit ribosomal RNA", at positions 28 to 507 of the family's 1533-position model. The record is from RNAcentral.